Long non-coding RNA from Pteropus alecto (black flying fox), 387 nucleotides. RefSeq lists it as uncharacterized. The record is from RefSeq and is a predicted model, not a curated record. The transcript has 3 exons. NCBI's taxonomy places the organism in Eukaryota, Metazoa, Chordata, Mammalia, Chiroptera, Pteropodidae.
ACUGAGAAUCAAUGAGCUGCUCAUUCGGCUUCGGAAAGACUGUUGAACAUCCACGACACACCUGAUGCUCGUUUGACAAGAGAGAGCGUCUGUGAUGGGCGGGAAGGACCCACUCAGACCAGUCCGGGAACUGCAUAUGUAAAAUCACGUGGGAGCAACGAGGACAAGACGGGCUACCCCUGGAAAUGAAGGGAGGCGUUCUCGACAAGGCGCGAGGACACGUCACAGGGCUGCAGGAGCUAGUCCCGCAUGGCUCCGGCCCAAGAAAGUGCCUGGUGAGGUGGGGGGAAGGGUUAACCCUGUGAAAUGUGGCAUCCAUGCCUGAGGGCUUCCUGGAGGAGGUGGCUCUGAGCCCUUCCUGCCACUCCCCCCACCCUGCCAUUUGCU